Molecule: long non-coding RNA, 592 nt
Filed under: Brassica rapa (field mustard)
Lineage: Eukaryota; Viridiplantae; Streptophyta; Magnoliopsida; Brassicales; Brassicaceae
Description: long non-coding RNA (BRAP_LNC005132)
Source: RNAcentral
AUUAAUAUAAAUCUAAAACACGUAGAAACCAACUUCUACAGAUUUACUAUAAAUCUAAAACAUGUAGAAAUCAAAAUCUAAACAUUACUAUAAUUCUAAAAAACUGUAGAAACCGAUUUCUACAUAUUAGUUAUAUUCUACGGAUAAGAAAUCAGUUCCUAAAAAUAUGGAAACAAAAUAUUUGGGAAUAUUCACUUUUAUAUUUUGAAAAAAAAAUCGAUUUUUUUUAAAAAAAAUAAAAAAAACGAAAAAGGAACAAAAAAAUAAAAAAAUAAAAAUAAAAAAUAAAAAAUUACAAUUUUAAGGGCAUUACUGUCAUUUUGAAAAAAAUUGGUCUAAUGAGACAUAAAGUAGUAUAGAUUAGUAUAAAGGGACAUAGUUACCAUUUUUUUGCUCUAAAAAAACAAUUUUCCCAAUUUUAUUUAAGGGUUAUGUAAGUAAAGGUGUAUAAGGGGGGCAAGCUUCCUUCCUAGAUGAUAAUAAAGGAUAGCGCAGGUUAACGAGAUGAGGUGGAAAGUAAGUUAGCACAGAGGAAUGUGACAGUUUUAUGCGCAAGAUAGCAUAGAAAAGGUAGAGAUAAAGUCAAUCAGUG